RNAcentral lists this ribosomal RNA (468 nucleotides) under uncultured bacterium. RNAcentral's name for it is "partial 16S ribosomal RNA". It matches the Rfam family "Bacterial small subunit ribosomal RNA", at positions 28 to 507 of the family's 1533-position model. The record is from RNAcentral.
GACGAACGCUGGCGGCGUGCUUAACACAUGCAUGUCGAACGGAAAGGCCCUGCUUUUGUGGGGUGCUCGAGUGGCGAACGGGUGAGUAACACGUGAGUAACCUGCCCUUGACUUUGGGAUAACUUCAGGAAACUGGGGCUAAUACCGGAUAGGAGCUCCUGCUGCAUGGUGGGGGUUGGAAAGUUUCGGCGGUUGGGGAUGGACUCGCGGCUUAUCAGCUUGUUGGUGGGGUAGUGGCUUACCAAGGCUUUGACGGGUAGCCGGCCUGAGAGGGUGACCGGCCACAUUGGGACUGAGAUACGGCCCAGACUCCUACGGGAGGCAGCAGUGGGGAAUAUUGCACAAUGGGCGGAAGCCUGAUGCAGCAACGCCGCGUGCGGGAUGACGGCCUUCGGGUUGCAAACCGCUUUCGCCUGUGACGAAGCGUGAGUGACGGUAAUGGGUUAAGAAGCACCGGCUAACUACGUG